ACGAACGGCGGAGGGAUCGUGCAUUUGCUCCAGCUUUCGCAGCUUUGUGAGAUUACUUCCUGUCAGUUACCCCCGUAGUUCAGUACUAACGAACGAACAAACGAACAAACGGGGGGGGGGGUUUCCUGGCUUGCUUUGUCUGUUUGUCUGCCCUUCACCCACUUCACUCUCCCUGCAUCCAUAGUAUCCAUGCGGGACGAAAUAUCUAUCAAGUGUCAGAACAGUUGAGAGACAAAGCUAGGAUCGAGCCCUGCCACUCAGCCCACAGCCACUCGCGCUUGAUUUUGAUUGAUGAUAUAAUGACCCAGAGGAUCGCGAUUGUGAUCAGGGAACAGGGUCAAAUAAAUAGAAUGAUGAUACAGAGACAUUUACAGUACAUAUACCAUAGAAGGUAGCUAGGAUGCUCAUAGAACACGCUACAAGAUACAUUAUGACUACAUAUGAUUCUUCCCUUUUCGCGCACUUUUUCGGUGCGGGCUUAAGUGUGUCGGGAUCGCGCGAUGUAUCUGAUUAUUGUGGAGAGGUGAUGAGUGGUGAUGGCCGUUCUCAGAAGUCGGAGAACUAAGGGGUCACGGGAGGUGGAAGAAUGGGCGGUGUCAGCCGCAUGCGGCUUUCCUUCUCUUGUCUCCUUCUGUCGCUUGUUUGUUGGAAGGGCGAGUUAGUUAGUUAGUGUUUUACCCUGCUUACCCCCCCCCUUUCCCCUUGCUAAUUAUACUUUGAUGGUCUUCCGUAUGAGGUUUUAAUGAGUUUUAAUGGGUUUUGAAAUCCGGGGUGAUGAAUGGAUCAAAGAAUGAAAAAAAAGAAAAAAAGAA
RNAcentral lists this small RNA (812 nucleotides) under Histoplasma ohiense. RNAcentral's name for it is "hypothetical lncRNA". Lineage: Eukaryota; Fungi; Ascomycota; Eurotiomycetes; Onygenales; Ajellomycetaceae. The record is from RNAcentral.